AUUGAACGCUGGCGGCAGGCCUAACACAUGCAAGUCGAGCGGAUGAAGGGAGCUUGCUCCUGGAUUCAGCGGCGGACGGGUGAGUAAUGCCUAGGAAUCUGCCUUGUAGUGGGGGAUAACGUCCGGAAACGGGCGCUAAUACCGCAUACGUCCUGAGGGAGAAAGUGGGGGAUCUUCGGACCUCACGCUAUCAGAUGAGCCUAGGUCGGAUUAGCUAGUUGGUGGGGUAAAGGCCUACCAAGGCGACGAUCCGUAACUGGUCUGAGAGGAUGAUCAGUCACACUGGAACUGAGACACGGUCCAGACUCCUACGGGAGGCAGCAGUGGGGAAUAUUGGACAAUGGGCGAAAGCCUGAUCCAGCCAUGCCGCGUGUGUGAAGAAGGUCUUCGGAUUGUAAAGCACUUUAAGUUGGGAGGAAGGAAAGUAAGUUAAUACCUUGCUGUUUUGACGUUACCAACAGAAUAAGCACCGGCUAACUUCGUG
Molecule: ribosomal RNA, 484 nt
Filed under: uncultured bacterium
Lineage: Bacteria
Description: partial 16S ribosomal RNA
Rfam family: Bacterial small subunit ribosomal RNA
Source: RNAcentral